AGGACUAAAGUUUUUAAAACAUUUAAAUUGCAAUUAAAAAAAAUAUUUUAUAUUAGUCUAA
This 61-nucleotide transfer RNA is filed under the name Mycopsylla proxima. RNAcentral's name for it is "tRNA-Ala". The record is from RNAcentral. Lineage: Eukaryota; Metazoa; Arthropoda; Insecta; Hemiptera; Carsidaridae.